GGGAGCUUGCUCCCCGGGUGACGAGCGGCGGACGGGUGAGUAAUGUCUGGGAAACUGCCUGAUGGAGGGGGAUAACUACUGGAAACGGUAGCUAAUACCGCAUAACGUCGCAAGACCAAAGAGGGGGACCUUCGGGCCUCUUGCCAUCAGAUGUGCCCAGAUGGGAUUAGCUAGUAGGUGGGGUAAUGGCUCACCUAGGCGACGAUCCCUAGCUGGUCUGAGAGGAUGACCAGCCACACUGGAACUGAGACACGGUCCAGACUCCUACGGGAGGCAGCAGUGGGGAAUAUUGCACAAUGGGCGCAAGCCUGAUGCAGCCAUGCCGCGUGUGUGAAGAAGGCCUUCGGGUUGUAAAGCACUUU
This 362-nucleotide ribosomal RNA is filed under the name Serratia marcescens. RNAcentral describes it as "bacterial SSU rRNA". It matches the Rfam family "Bacterial small subunit ribosomal RNA", at positions 74 to 436 of the family's 1533-position model. Lineage: Bacteria; Pseudomonadati; Pseudomonadota; Gammaproteobacteria; Enterobacterales; Yersiniaceae. The record is from RNAcentral.